AGAAAAGCAGGGGAUCGUAAGACCUUGNCGCUCUUGGAGCGGCCGAUGUCUGAUUAGCUAGUUGGUGAGGUAAAGGCUUACCAAGGCUUCGAUCAGUAGCUGGUCUGAGAGGACGACCAGCCACACUGGGACUGAGACACGGCCCAGACUCCUACGGGAGGCAGCAGUGGGGAAUUUUGGACAAUGGGGGAAACCCUGUAUCCAGCCAUGCCGCGUGAGUGAAGAAGGCCUUCGGGUUGUAAAGCUCUUUCAGCCGGAACGAAAAGGUUACGGUUAAUACCCGUGACUAAUGACGGUACCGGAAGAAGAAGCACCGGCUAACUACGUGCCAGCAGCCGCGGUAAUACGUAGGGUGCGAGCGUUAAUCGGAAUUACUGGGCGUAAAGCGUGCGCAGGCGGUUUUGUAAGUCAGAUGUGAAAUCCCCGGGCUCAACCUGGGAACUGCGUUUGAAACUACAAAGCU
RNAcentral lists this ribosomal RNA (463 nucleotides) under uncultured beta proteobacterium. RNAcentral describes it as "bacterial SSU rRNA". It matches the Rfam family "Bacterial small subunit ribosomal RNA", at positions 187 to 642 of the family's 1533-position model. Lineage: Bacteria; Pseudomonadati; Pseudomonadota; Betaproteobacteria. The record is from RNAcentral.